CCUACGGGAGGCAGCAGUGGGGAAUCUUGCGCAAUGGGCGAAAGCCUGACGCAGCAACGCCGCGUGCGGGAAGAAGGCUUUCGGGCUGUAAACCGCUUUCAGCAGGAACGAAAAUGACGGUACCUGCAGAAGAAGGAGCGGCCAACUAUGUGCCAGCAGCCGCGGUGAUACAUAGGCUUCAAGCGUUGUCCGGAUUUAUUGGGCGUAAAGAGUUCGUAGGCGGUCAAGUAAGUCGGGUGUGAAAAUUCUGGGGCUCAACCCAGAGACGCCACCCGAUACUGCUUAACUUGAGUUCGAUAGGGGAGUGGGGAAUUCCUAGUGUAGCGGUGAAAUGCGCAGAUAUUAGGAGGAACACCGGUGGCGAAGGCGCCACUCUGGAUCGAUACUGACGCUGAGGAACGAAAGCAUGGGUAGCAAACAGGAUUAGAUACCCUGGUAGUCCAUGCCGUAAACGGUGGGCACUAGGUNUGGGUUUCCUAUUAACGAAAUCCGCGCCGUCGCUAACGCAUUAAGUGCCCCGCCUGGGGGAGGUACGGUCGCGACGAACGUAAACGUUAAAGGUAAGUUAGACGGCGUGAGACGNGACGACGGACGACGACGAGGGAGGAGG
Molecule: ribosomal RNA, 610 nt
Filed under: uncultured bacterium
Lineage: Bacteria
Description: bacterial SSU rRNA
Rfam family: Bacterial small subunit ribosomal RNA (bases 1-522)
Source: RNAcentral